UUUCAAGAAAGAAAGAAGAAGAAGGAACAGGAUUUGCGGGGAAGAAGAAGAAAAUAAAGCGAAAAAAGGGAAGAAAUUUCAGGGAAUUAAAGAAGAAGAAUUGGAGGUAAAAGAGAGGGAAAAACCUGGAAUGAGGAGACUCCCAUUCAUUUGCUCGUAAUUGUGACUUCAGUAAGAAAGUUUGGAAGCAAUCCCAUCUCAGAACCAAGCUCUGGUGCCAAUUUGUAAGAUAACAUAUCUGAGUCAAUCCCUAGAGUUGGAACAGAGUUGCGAGAGAAAAAGAAGGAAAAAAAGUGGAUGAGAAGAGAAACAGAAUUAGAUGAGAAGAGAAAAGAAUCUAGAGAAGAGAGAGAUAUGAUUGAUGUUCAUUCUUGAAUGCCUCCUUACAGAUCUACUUCUACUUUUAUAGACAAAGGAGUAACCGCCUCCUAACAACUCUGACAGAAUCAGUUAGAUAAAACUUAUUUAACUAAUACAAGUAAUUCCCUCCAAAAAGCUGUUACGGUAGUUACAAGCAAUUCCCUCCAAAUUCCCCAGCUAACUAACUGCUAACAGCAACUACUAAUUAACACUCUUCUUCCUUCUUCUAUAAUAUGUAACAACCCGAUAGGUUGGAAGCUUGUCGCCCCUUGGUGACAUAGCUGCCACAAUCGAGGCUCAAAUCUGAUGUUCCUACAUUGAGUUACAAGCUGGUCGAUUAAAACCCACCCAAGCUUACAGAUGAGCUCACACAGAUUACUGUGAGCUAGAAGCAUUUGAUCUCCUCCUACCCUUGUGUUUUGACUAGGAGUUAGUGAGCUUGAUAGCCAUGUAACCAUGAAUUUCAAAUUGAAUUGUAGGAGUUGGAUUUAUUGAAGUCCGAAUAAAAAUCAAUUUCUUGUCCCACUUCAAUUCAAGAUUGUAAAUGAAUAUGAGAAUGAGAUUAGUUAAGAAAAGAGAAAGAGAAAGGAAUGUGAGACUUAUAGAUUCAAGAACUUAAUUUUGAGGGAAAAUCAAAAGGAUAGAGGAAGAAGAGGCAGACCAACAAAUUGAUUUGGAAGCAAAGCCAACCCUAGAACUCAAAGUUCUAAUACCAACUAUUAUGUAGCUAGAUUCUCAAUGGUCCAAGGCUUUGGCAAUAAAGAAGAAUCGAAGAAAGAGGAGGAGAGGGGGGAAGCAGAAUAGAAACUAGAUGAUCAAGAAGAAAGAAAAGAGGAAGAGAGAGAAAGAAGCAAAGAGAGGCUUCUUAAUGGUCCAAGGCUCCAUCAAUGAAGAAGAAUGGAAGACAGAGGAACAGAGGGGAGAAGCAUAAUAAAAAAACAGAAGAUUGAGAAUGAACAAAAGAGGGAGAGAGAGAGAAAGAGAGAGAGAAUGAGAAUCUUCGAAAUGCAAGGGAGAUAGCUCGAUCACAGAGAGUAGACGAGACGUGAGAGGGCUGAGAUACCACCAUAGGAGAAAAAGUGAGAUGAAACUCUUCCCAUCCAAGAGGCUUGGCUUGAUUUCACCAAUAAAAGCUGUGCUAUUGAAAACAAGUUGAGCACUGAAACAUCAAAUCCUGGAAAAGUACACAGGCGAGUGACUGGGGCCUUAGCAAGCCAUGUGACAAUGGCUUCAAGUUCAGCAAUCUCACUAGCACUCUUCUUAUCAGUAAUUCUUAACAGUACUGGUGGGUUCUGAAGCUGGUGGAAUAUCAAUCUAUUGGGGCCAGAAUAGAAACGAAGGCACCUUGGCAGAGAAUUGUGGCUUAGGAAACUACAAUUUUGUAAACACAGCUUUCCUACCAGUUUUUGGAAAUGAUCAGACUCCUGUGAUUAACCUCGCUGGCCAUUGCAGUCCUGACAGUUGCACAGGCCUAAGCUCUGACAUAAAAACAUUUCAAGCCAAAGGCAUUAAGGUAAUGCUUUCUAUUGGAAGAGGAUCUGGGAGCUAAUAUCUUGUCUCUACUGAGGAUGCAAGGCAAGUUGCAACUUAUCUUUGGAAUAACUUCUUGGGAGGGCACUCUUCAUUUCGUCCGUUUGGCCCUGGUGCUCUAGAUGGAAUUGACUUUGACAUUGAAGAAGGAAAAAGCCAACACUACAAUGAUCUUGCAAGGCUCCUUUCUGUCUAUGGUAAGAAAGGUAAGAAGAUGUACUUAAUUGCAGCUCCCCAAUGCCCAUUUCCGGAUGCCAGGGUAGGAAAUGCUCUUAUGACAUGUCUUCUUUGACUUUAUUCGGGUCCAAUUCUACAAUAACCCUCCUUGCCAGUACUCUUCUGGGAGUAUUGGCAAUCUCAUAGAUGCACGGAAGCAAUGUACCCCGAGUGAUGUUAAAAAAGUUUUCCUCGGAUUACCUGUUGCACCUGCUGCGGCUGGUGGCGGCUUCAUCCGUGUAGCUGAUCCAACUUCCAAAGUCCCUCCAGCAAUCAAUGGUUCUUCCAAUUAUGGUGCUGUUAUGCUGUGGUCCAUGGUAAUAUGAUGAUGAAACUGGUUACAAUAAAGCCAUCAAAAACCAUGUCUAAAAUACCCUGUUCCAGUUGUCUGAGGACAAAUUCCAAUUUGUCGAAAUUUACAUCUGUCUAAUUGUAUUAGUGCCAUGCAUAAUUCAAUAUUGAAUACUCUUUUAUCUAUAAUUCCUCCUUGACUACAUCUAUAAUUCUGUAUUGCCUAUAGGAAUUAUAACAGUUCCCAAUUCGCAUAAUUUUGUGGUUGCUAGAAUGACCUAAAAAUAAUGAACCGUGAACAGAAGUAUUAAACAAGAAGCAAGCAAAUAAUUACGACACCAAGGCUUCUAUAUCAUUCUUAAUACCAGAUAGAAAAUUCCAGAUUUCAGAGGGAACAAGAAAUAUCCCCUGUAUAAUGGAAUAUUCUGUGCGAAUUGGAAAAUUUCCGAUGGGAGAACAUCAGAACAGAAUAAGAUAAAACAUGAUAUGCAGAACUGCUGGAGAACUAAGGUGUUAUAUUGAAAAAUAUAAAACAUAAAAUAUUGAUAGUGAUUCAAAAUGAGGCGAAAUUGCAUGUCUUUCCAUAAAGCGGAACAAACAAAAAAUUAAUCAACUACCAACAAAAAAAAAUUCUUAGGUGCUCAGGAAUUGUGACAAAUAAAUUAGAAAAACCUUCAAAAA
RNAcentral lists this unclassified non-coding RNA (3078 nucleotides) under Hevea brasiliensis (rubber tree). The record is from RNAcentral. Lineage: Eukaryota; Viridiplantae; Streptophyta; Magnoliopsida; Malpighiales; Euphorbiaceae.